RNAcentral lists this ribosomal RNA (397 nucleotides) under uncultured bacterium. RNAcentral's name for it is "partial 16S ribosomal RNA". It matches the Rfam family "Bacterial small subunit ribosomal RNA", at positions 523 to 918 of the family's 1533-position model. The record is from RNAcentral.
AUACGUAGGGGGCGAGCGUUGUCCGGAAUGAUUGGGCGUAAAGGGCGCGUAGGCGGCCCGGUAAGUCUGGAGUGAAAGUCCUGCUUUUAAGGUGGGAAUUGCUUUGGAUACUGUCGGGCUUGAGUGCAGGAGAGGUAAGUGGAAUUCCCAGUGUAGCGGUGAAAUGCGUAGAGAUUGGGAGGAACACCCGUGGCGAAGGCGACUUACUGGACUGUAACUGACGCUGAGGCGCGAAAGUGUGGGGAGCAAACAGGAUUAGAUACCCUGGUAGUCCACACUGUAAACGAUGAAUGCUAGGUGUAGGGGGUAUCGACCCCUUCUGUGCCGCAGUUAACACAAUAAGCAUUCCGCCUGGGGAGUACGGCCGCAAGGUUGAAACUCAAAUGAAUUGGCGGGG